CUUGAGAGGCAGAAGGCUCCUCAUGGCUCCUUAUCACAUCAGACAGUUCCAGGACAGGGACCACAGAAGGGUCCUGGACUUGUUCUCCAGAGGCAUGGAGGAGCAUGUCCCUGCUGCCUUCUACCAUGUGCUGACACUGCCUCAUUCUCUCCUGCUCUUUCCUGGGGUGCCCGUGACCUUAGUCCUAGUGUCUGGUUCUUGGCUCCUGGCCACAGUGUACAGUUUCCUCUUUCUCCUUUGCCUGUGGCUCCUUAUCUGGUUAUCAUGGAGAAAUUAUGUGGCUAUGUGUUUGAAAUCAGACCUGGCUGACAUCACCAAGUCUUACCUGAAUGCACAUGGCUCCUUCUGGGUGGCUGAGUCUGGGGGCCAGGUGGUGGGCAUAGUGGGUGCUCUGCCAGUCAAGGAUCCUCCAUCAGGGAGGAAGCAGCUGCAGCUCUUUCGCCUGUCUGUGUCCUCACAGAAUCGAGGACAGGGAUAGCAAAGCACUGGUCAGAACUGUGCUCCAGUUUGCACGGGAUCAAGGAUACAGUGAUGUUGUCCUACAGACCAGCAGUGUGCAGUACAGCGCUAUGUCUCUGUACCAGGGCAUGGGUUUCCAGAAGACAGGCCAGCACUUUAUGAGCAUAACCACGAGGUUAAUUGGUCUUUCUAUCCUUCAUUUCACCUACUCUCUCCCUUCUGUCUGGGAACCAAGGAUGUGAUCUUUUUUCCUUUGUCUAGAGGGCUCCAGUUCACUCUGCUUUAGGAACAAGCCAACCCUGGCAGUUCAUUUACCAAGACCAAGGCUCCCUUUCCAUCCCUUUCAGAUGCAGCAGUGCUGGUGGUGACCUCUGGGUGUUGGCCUCCUGCUCCAUUCUGCCUUUUUAAGGGUCUCUGUUUCAUCUUUCUAGUGCUGUGAUAAGAGAGCACGAAACCCAGCCGAGUGGACCCUGCACACAUUCACUAGGAGUCCGUUAGCUAUCAGCAACCUUGGCGAGCUGAAGUUCCAGCUCAGACAGGAUUCAGGAUCUUUGCAGGCAAGAUAAGUGAACUCAAAACAAAGGCUUUCCUCACACACACGGAACGUGUGGGUUAUUGAAAAUUCUACGACUCAUGUAGAAAUGGAGUCUCCAUGGUAGAGGUGCACCACAGUCAUAGAUGGGUCAGGGUGGGCGCCCUCGAGAGCUAGAGCAAGGAAGUGUGUAACUUACUCCUAAGUCACCCUUGUGCAGAGGCAGGAAAGGGACCUCUGAUGCAGAGGGAAUAGCUUUGAACAGCCUCUCCUGGGUGCUUAUUUGGUCCCAGUCUCAUGAGAAAGCCCAACCUAAUGCAUGCAGAGCAUGAAAUCUUCUUGGAGAUCCAGGGAAAGGACAUGGGAUCCAGAAUUAUCAUCCAAAUGUCACCCUAGAGAAAAACCCCAGGACGAAUUGGCAUUUCCUUGGGUUUGAGAGCAAUGGUUUCCAGUGCUCCUGGUUAUCUUCUGUAAAAUGUUAAAAUGGCUGUUCAGGUGUUAGAACGGCACUGUAGAGUGGAGAAACGCAGUCUCUGAACUAAUGAGGUUGUUGGGUGAAGAUUACCGUGCUAGGCACAGGCAGCCUUCAUGAAUUUUUGGAAAAGACCCUGAAGGCCAAUGAAUCGCACAAGUGUUGCCACUGCUUUUGGUUGCAUGCAGGAACUGGAGAACUCCUGUGUGAGGACAUCACAUUGUUUGGUUUUAGAACAUGGAGGAGUCAAGCAGAGGCUAGGCUGAAAGAGCCUUGUGUGCUGGUGCCAAGAGGCUCAGGGCCUGAGGGAGAUUUGUUGCAGCCUGUGUGCUGUGUUGUUACACGCAAGACUAGUCGUAGUGCCAUAGUGGAAUUGUAAUAUUUGAGCACAGAUACUUUAUGUUUGAGACCUCCGCUGGUUAGCAUUCCCAUUCGUUAUUCUAAGCCAGGACACAAUUCCGUGGGCAUGGAGGCCAUAGGCCAUAGUAAGUAGACUACUACUAGUAUUGUUUUAUUUUUUAUUAAACAGGUAUAGUGUGUGCUCUUGCCUUCAAAACAUUUGUUUUUAUGCCCUAUGACUGCGGUGCCAGCCUCAGUGGUAAAGGGAGCUUUCACAGUGGGUGGUAGUUACUCCAGAGACUCAGACCUUGUCCAAUUGCUGAGGAUCAGCGAGUGAUCUGUGAUAGAGCCUGAUGUUGGGCUGUAAAUGAAAAUAGAUGUGUACAUGUAUCACUUGCUCCAAGCCUUAGAAGAGGUAUGGAAGGGGAUGCCUUACAGAUAUAAGAUCUGGAGUGGGUGUAGUCUCCUGUAUGUGUUUGGUCUGAACUGAAGCAUCUUCUUGUUGAGGCUCAGCAGACCCAGGAGAGGGCCCCUCUCUAAAGUCACCCAGGCAGAGAGAAGCCUGUUAGGAACCCCAGUGUUGUAGAUUGUGUGAGGCAUUACCUCUGCAAUGGUAAUACUGCCUGCACGACCCAUGCCCCCAUCAGUAAUCCCUCAUCUGAGUCCCUGUAGCUCCAAUAAAAUGUUUCAUCCACCUUGA
This is an RNA transcript of Rattus rattus (black rat), 2502 nucleotides long. It is a transcript of the gene named N-acetyltransferase family 8 member 2-like, with no coding region annotated. Lineage: Eukaryota; Metazoa; Chordata; Mammalia; Rodentia; Muridae. The transcript has a single exon. The record is from RefSeq and is a predicted model, not a curated record.